Molecule: ribosomal RNA, 494 nt
Filed under: uncultured bacterium
Lineage: Bacteria
Description: partial 16S ribosomal RNA
Rfam family: Bacterial small subunit ribosomal RNA
Source: RNAcentral
GACGAACGCUGGCGGCGUGCUUAACACAUGCAAGUCGAACGGAAAGGCCUGCUUUUCCUUGUGGAUUGCGGGUACUCGAGUGGCGAACGGGUGAGUAACACGUGAGUGAUCUGCCCCCAACUUGGGUAGAAGCCUGGGAAACUGGGUCUAAUUCCCGAUAGCACUGCAGGGUGGUGCCUGUGGUGGAAAACGAUUUUCUAGUGGUUGGGGAUGAGCUCGCGGCCUAUCAGGUUGUUGGUGGGGUAAGGGCGUACCAGGGCGGCGACGGGCAGCCGGCCUGGGGGGGUGGACGCCCGCAUUGGGGCUGGGACACGGCCCGAACGCGUACGGGAGGCAGCAGUUGGGGGAGGAGGACGAGGGGCGGAAGCCUGAUGCGGCGACGCCGCGUGGGGGAUGCCGGGCUUCGGGUAGUAAGCUCCUUUGGACGGCGAGGGAGCCACCUGGUUGGGAAGGUGGUGACGGUAGUGGUAGAAGAAGCGCCGGCUAACUACGUG